AGUGAACGCUGGCGGUAGGCCUAACACAUGCAAGUCGAACGGCAGCACAGUAAGAGCUUGCUCUUACGGGUGGCGAGUGGCGGACGGGUGAGGAAUACAUCGGAAUCUACUUUUUCGUGGGGGAUAACGUAGGGACACUUACGCUAAUACCGCAUACGACCUACGGGUGAAAGCAGGGGAUCUUCGGACCUUGCGCGAUUGAAUGAGCCGAUGUCGGAUUAGCUAGUUGGCGGGGUAAAGGCCCACCAAGGCGACGAUCCGUAGCUGGUCUGAGAGGAUGAUCAGCCACACUGGAACUGAGACACGGUCCAGACUCCUACGGGAGGCAGCAGUGGGGAAUAUUGGACAAUGGGCGAAAGCCUGAUCCAGCCAUACCGCGUGGGUGAAGAAGGCCUUCGGGUUGUAAAGCCCUUUUGUUGGGAAAGAAAAGCAGCAGGUUAAUACCCCGCUGUUCUGACGGUACCCAAAGAAUAAGCACCGGCUAACUUCGUG
RNAcentral lists this ribosomal RNA (492 nucleotides) under uncultured bacterium. RNAcentral describes it as "partial 16S ribosomal RNA". It matches the Rfam family "Bacterial small subunit ribosomal RNA", at positions 29 to 507 of the family's 1533-position model. The record is from RNAcentral.